GCCUGGGUGGCUCAGUUGGUUGAGCAUCCGACUUCGGCUCAGGUCACGAUCUCAUGGUUUGUGGGUUUGAGUCCCACGUCAGGCU
Molecule: transfer RNA, 85 nt
Filed under: Felis catus (domestic cat)
Lineage: Eukaryota; Metazoa; Chordata; Mammalia; Carnivora; Felidae
Rfam family: tRNA
About the family: Transfer RNA (tRNA) molecules are approximately 80 nucleotides in length. Their secondary structure includes four short double-helical elements and three loops (D, anti-codon, and T loops).
Source: Rfam by way of RNAcentral